UUCAGAUAGCCUAGUGGUAUAAGGCAGUGUCCCUAGAACACCAAGCUCCCUGGUUUGAAUCCAGGUCUGAUGAAA
Molecule: transfer RNA, 75 nt
Filed under: Cronartium comandrae C4
Lineage: Eukaryota; Fungi; Basidiomycota; Pucciniomycetes; Pucciniales; Coleosporiaceae
Description: tRNA-Sup (CTA) (tRNA-Sup-CTA-29-1)
Rfam family: tRNA
About the family: Transfer RNA (tRNA) molecules are approximately 80 nucleotides in length. Their secondary structure includes four short double-helical elements and three loops (D, anti-codon, and T loops).
Source: RNAcentral